This 1369-nucleotide ribosomal RNA is filed under the name uncultured Paracoccaceae bacterium. Its description in RNAcentral is "bacterial SSU rRNA". It matches the Rfam family "Bacterial small subunit ribosomal RNA". Lineage: Bacteria; Pseudomonadati; Pseudomonadota; Alphaproteobacteria; Rhodobacterales; Paracoccaceae. The record is from RNAcentral.
UAACACAUGCAAGUCGAGCGCUACCUUCGGGUGGAGCGGCGGACGGGUUAGUAACGCGUGGGAACAUACCCUUCUCUAAGGAAUAGCCUCGGGAAACUGAGAGUAAUACCUUAUACGCCCUUCGGGGGAAAGAUUUAUCGGAGAAGGAUUGGCCCGCGUUAGAUUAGAUAGUUGGUGGGGUAAUGGCCUACCAAGUCUACGAUCUAUAGCUGGUUUGAGAGGAUGAUCAGCAACACUGGGACUGAGACACGGCCCAGACUCCUACGGGAGGCAGCAGUGGGGAAUCUUAGACAAUGGGCGCAAGCCUGGUCUAGCGAUGCCGCGUGAGUGACGAAGGCCUUAGGGUCGUAAAGCUCUUUCACCAGGGAUGAUAAUGACAGUACCUGGAAAAGAAACCCCGGCUAACUCCGUGCCAGCAGCCGCGGUAAUACGGAGGGGGUUAGCGUUGUUCGGAAUUACUGGGCGUAAAGCGUACGUAGGCGGAUCAGAAAGUAUGGGGUGAAAUCCCGGGGCUCAACCCCGGAACUGCCUCAUAAACUCCUGGUCUUGAGUUCGAGAGAGGUAAGUGGAAUUCCGAGUGUAGAGGUGAAAUUCGUAGAUAUUCGGAGGAACACCAGUGGCGAAGGCGGCUUACUGGCUCGAUACUGACGCUGAGGUACGAAAGUGUGGGGAGCAAACAGGAUUAGAUACCCUGGUAGUCCACACCGUAAACGAUGAAUGCCAGUCGUCAGAGGGCUUGCCCUUUGGUGACACACCUAACGGAUUAAGCAUUCCGCCUGGGGAGUACGGUCGCAAGAUUAAAACUCAAGGGAAUUGACGGGGGCCCGCACAAGCGGUGGAGCAUGUGGUUUUAAUUUGAAGGAAACGCGCAGAACCUUACCCAACCCUGACAUACUCGUCGUCGCUCCAGAAGAUGGAGCUUUCAUUUAGUUGGACGAGAUACAGGUGCUGCAUGGCUGUCGUCAGCUCGUGUCGUGAGAUGUUCGGUUAAGUCCGGCAACGAGCGCAACCCACAUCUUUAGUUGCCAGCAGUUCGGCUGGGCACUCUAGAGAAACUGCCCGUGAUAAGCGGGAGGAAGGUGUGGAUGACGUCAAGUCCUCAUGGCCCUUACGGGUUGGGCUACACACGUGCUACAAUGGCAGUGACAAUGGGUUAAUCCCAAAAAGCUGUCUCAGUUCGGAUUGGGGUCUGCAACUCGACCCCAUGAAGUCGGAAUCGCUAGUAAUCGCGUAACAGCAUGACGCGGUGAAUACGUUCCCGGGCCUUGUACACACCGCCCGUCACACCAUGGGAGUUGGGUUUACCCGAAGGCCGUGCGCCAACCUUUCGAGGGGGCAGCGGACCACGGUGAGCUCAGCGACUGGGGUG